RNAcentral lists this ribosomal RNA (644 nucleotides) under uncultured bacterium. RNAcentral's name for it is "bacterial SSU rRNA". It matches the Rfam family "Bacterial small subunit ribosomal RNA", at positions 77 to 745 of the family's 1533-position model. The record is from RNAcentral.
AGCUUGCUAAUAAUUCUCUAGUGGCGCACGGGUGAGUAACACGUGAGUAACCUGCCCCCAAGAGUGGGAUAGCCCCGGGAAACUGGGAUUAAUACCGCAUAAAAUCGCAAGAUUAAAGCAGCAAUGCGCUUGGGGAUGGGCUCGCGUCCUAUUAGUUAGUUGGUGAGGUAACGGCUCACCAAGGCGAUGACGGGUAGCCGGUCUGAGAGGAUGUCCGGCCACACUGGGACUGAGACACGGUCCAGACACCUACGGGUGGCAGCAGUCGAGAAUCAUUCACAAUGGGGGAAACCCUGAUGGUGCGACGCCGCGUGGGGGAAUGAAGGUCUUCGGAUUGUAAACCCCUGUCAUGUGGGAGCAAAUUAAAAAGAUAGUACCACAAGAGGAAGAGACGGCUAACUCUGUGCCAGCAGCCGCGGUAAUACAGAGGUCUCAAGCGUUGUUCGGAAUCACUGGGCGUAAAGCGUGCGUAGGCGGUUUCGUAAGUCGUGUGUGAAAGGCGGGGGCUCAACCCCCGGACUGCACAUGAUACUGCGAGACUAGAGUAAUGGAGGGGGAACCGGAAUUCUCGGUGUAGCAGUGAAAUGCGUAGAUAUCGAGAGGAACACUCGUGGCNGAGGCNGGUUCCUGGACAUUAACUGACG